RNAcentral lists this ribosomal RNA (492 nucleotides) under uncultured bacterium. Its description in RNAcentral is "partial 16S ribosomal RNA". It matches the Rfam family "Bacterial small subunit ribosomal RNA", at positions 29 to 507 of the family's 1533-position model. The record is from RNAcentral.
AGUGAACGCUGGCGGUAGGCCUAACACAUGCAAGUCGAACGGCAGCACAGUAAGAGCUUGCUCUUACGGGUGGCGAGUGGCGGACGGGUGAGGAAUACAUCGGAAUCUACUUUUUCGUGGGGGAUAACGUAGGGAAACUUACGCUAAUACCGCAUACGACCUACGGGUGAAGGCAGGGGAUCUUCGGACCUUGCGCGAUUGAAUGAGCCGAUGUCGGAUUAGCUAGUUGGCGGGGUAAAGGCCCACCAAGGCGACGAUCCGUAGCUGGUCUGAGAGGAUGAUCAGCCACACUGGAACUGAGACACGGUCCAGACUCCUACGGGAGGCAGCAGUGGGGAAUAUUGGACAAUGGGUGCAAGCCUGAUCCAGCCAUACCGCGUGGGUGAAGAAGGCCUUCGGGUUGUAAAGCCCUUUUGUUGGGAAAGAAAAGCAGCAGGUUAAUACCCCGCCGUUCUGACGGUACCCAAAGAAUAAGCACCGGCUAACUUCGUG